This 587-nucleotide ribosomal RNA is filed under the name Bacillus subtilis. RNAcentral's name for it is "bacterial SSU rRNA". It matches the Rfam family "Bacterial small subunit ribosomal RNA", at positions 75 to 646 of the family's 1533-position model. The record is from RNAcentral. Lineage: Bacteria; Bacillati; Bacillota; Bacilli; Caryophanales; Bacillaceae.
GGAGCUUGCUCCCUGAUGUUAGCGGCGGACGGGUGAGUAACACGUGGGUAACCUGCCUGUAAGACUGGGAUAACUCCGGGAAACCGGGGCUAAUACCGGAUGGUUGUUUGAACCGCAUGGUUCAAACAUAAAAGGUGGCUUCGGCUACCACUUACAGAUGGACCCGCGGCGCAUUAGCUAGUUGGUGAGGUAACGGCUCACCAAGGCAACGAUGCGUAGCCGACCUGAGAGGGUGAUCGGCCACACUGGGACUGAGACACGGCCCAGACUCCUACGGGAGGCAGCAGUAGGGAAUCUUCCGCAAUGGACGAAAGUCUGACGGAGCAACGCCGCGUGAGUGAUGAAGGUUUUCGGAUCGUAAAGCUCUGUUGUUAGGGAAGAACAAGUACCGUUCGAAUAGGGCGGUACCUUGACGGUACCUAACCAGAAAGCCACGGCUAACUACGUGCCAGCAGCCGCGGUAAUACGUAGGUGGCAAGCGUUGUCCGGAAUUAUUGGGCGUAAAGGGCUCGCAGGCGGUUUCUUAAGUCUGAUGUGAAAGCCCCCGGCUCAACCGGGGAGGGUCAUUGGAAACUGGGGAACUUGAG